UACCAGCACCCCGAGCGGUCGGGACGAUUAUUGGGCCUAAAGCAUCCGUAGCCGGUUUUACAAGUCCUCCGUUAAAUCCAGCUGCUUAACAGAUGGGCUGCGGAGGAUACUAUAAGACUAGGAGGCAGGAGAGGCAAGCGGUACUCAGUGGGUAGGGGUAAAAUCCGUUGAUCCAUUGAAGACCACCAGUGGCGAAGGCGGCUUGCCAGAAUGCGCUCGACGGUGAGGGAUGAAAGCUGGGGGAGCAAACCGG
This 253-nucleotide ribosomal RNA is filed under the name uncultured bacterium. Its description in RNAcentral is "partial 16S ribosomal RNA". It matches the Rfam family "Archaeal small subunit ribosomal RNA", at positions 474 to 727 of the family's 1478-position model. The record is from RNAcentral.